Molecule: ribosomal RNA, 856 nt
Filed under: uncultured bacterium
Lineage: Bacteria
Description: bacterial SSU rRNA
Rfam family: Bacterial small subunit ribosomal RNA
Source: RNAcentral
CAAGUCGACGGCAGCACGGGAGCAAUCCUGGUGGCGAGUGGCGAACGGGUGAGUAAUAUAUCGGAACGUGCCCAGUCGUGGGGGAUAACGCAGCGAAAGCUGUGCUAAUACCGCAUACGAUCUACGGAUGAAAGCGGGGGAUCGCAAGACCUCGCGCGAUUGGAGCGGCCGAUAUCAGAUUAGCUAGUUGGUGGGGUAAAAGCCCACCAAGGCGACGAUCUGUAGCUGGUCUGAGAGGACGACCAGCCACACUGGAACUGAGACACGGUCCAGACUCCUACGGGAGGCAGCAGUGGGGAAUUUUGGACAAUGGGCGCAAGCCUGAUCCAGCAAUGCCGCGUGCAGGAUGAAGGCCUUCGGGUUGUAAACUGCUUUUGUACGGAACGAAACGGUCCUUUCUAAUAUAAGGGGCUAAUGACGGUACCGUAAGAAUAAGCACCGGCUAACUACGUGCCAGCAGCCGCGGUAAUACGUAGGGUGCGAGCGUUAAUCGGAAUUACUGGGCGUAAAGCGUGCGCAGGCGGUUAUAUAAGACAGAUGUGAAAUCCCCGGGCUCAACCUGGGACCUGCAUUUGUGACUGUAUAGCUAGAGUACGGUAGAGGGGGAUGGAAUUCCGCGUGUAGCAGUGAAAUGCGUAGAUAUGCGGAGGAACACCGAUGGCGAAGGCAAUCCCCUGCACCUGUACUGACGCUCAUGCACGAAAGCGUGGGGAGCAAACAGGAUUAGAUACCCUGUAGUCCGCGCCCUAAACGAUGUCAACUGGUUGUUGGGUCUUCACUGACUCAGUAACGAAGCUAACGCGUGAAGUUGACCGCCUGGGAGUACGGCCGCAAGGUUGAACUCAAGGAUUGACGG